This 3744-nucleotide ribosomal RNA is filed under the name Triticum aestivum (bread wheat). RNAcentral's name for it is "partial small subunit ribosomal RNA". Lineage: Eukaryota; Viridiplantae; Streptophyta; Magnoliopsida; Poales; Poaceae. The record is from RNAcentral.
AUGGGGCACAGCGCGAGGAAGAAGAAGAAGAAGGGCGGCGCCGGGCGCAAGGCGGCCAAGGACCACGCCGCGCAGCUCGAGGGCGACCAGACCGCGCUCACGGACGAGCUCACGGCGCUGGCUGCAAUUUUUCUCGAGGACUUCAAAAUAACUUCACAAUCACCUCACACCCGAUUUAGCAUAUGUAUCAGGCCUUACUCUGACGGCAUGGGCUUUGGAGAUUUAAAUGUUUCGGCUAUUCUUGAUGUAAUUUGCUUUGCUGGUUACCCCCACAAGUGCCCAAAGUUGCGAAUCAUACCUGAGAAAAACUUGUGUAAAGAAGAUGCUGAUCGGCUACUUUCCCUUCUUUCUGACCAGGCAAACAUUUAUUCCCGAGAAGGGCGUGUUAUGAUUUUCGAUUUGGUAGAGGCUGCCCAAGAAUUCCUGUCAGAAAUUGCUCCAGCUACUGAUUCAACGAGUACUGCUCCUCACUUAGGUUCAAGUACAAUACAGGAAAUAACUGACGCAGAUGUGAAUGCUAGCCUUGACAGUGGUCCUUAUCCUGGAAUCUUUUACAUCUAUAACUCAUUCGAUUUGUAUGGUCAACUAUAUGAAGACAAUAGUUGGCAAAGGCAAGGUUUCGACCCAACAACUGAUAAUGCCAGGAAAAAUAUUGGAUCUCAAGUCAAUUCAAAUGUUAGAAGCAAGAGGAAAACAGUCGACGAGAAAUCCCGUUUUUCAGCUGAUAAGAUCAAUGCUGCAAAAAGUUCAUCUCAGGAUAAUGCUGAGCAUGCCAUGAAGCAUGGUGUUGUACGAGAGGUAGUUCCAAGUUUACCUGCUGUUGCAGAGGAAACUGAUAAUGACAGCAAAACUUUGUCCACAAGCAACGGAGGAGGUAUGGCAGAUACUCCAGAGAGGAGUUUCAGCAGUGUACAUGAAUCCGAGGACUCUGACCUUGCAGAUGACGGUUGGAAUGAUGCAGAUUCUGCUCCAGACUCUGGCUCUUCAAAUGCGCCAUCUCAUGUUUCAGACAUGUUUGAUGAUGCUUCGCAAAAUAAGAAAAGGGACUUAAUUCUGGUACACUUGCUUCGGUUAGCCUGUGCGUCAAAAGAUUCUCUUUCGGCUGCUUUGCCAGUAAUAUCAUCGGAGUUAUGCAACAUAGGGGUUCUUUCUGAAUGGGCUAAGCAAUUAAUUUCUGAAUCUCCUGCUGUUUUUGGGGAAACUUUUGAUCAUGUUUUUGGGCAGCAAAUGAUAUCUUCAGAGUGCUCUCUAUUUUGGAGGGCUGACAAUUCCUCAUCUAGGCCAAAUUCCCGUUAUUUAAAUGAUUUUGAAGAGCUCCGUUCACUUGGUCAGGGGGGCUUUGGCCGUGUGGCAUUGUGUAAAAACAAGCUCGAUGGACGCCAAUAUGCUGUAAAGAAGAUACGCCUCAAGGAUAAAAGUCCUCAAGUGAACGAAAAGAUUCUAAGAGAAGUUGCCACACUUUCACGACUGCAGCAUCAGCAUGUUGUUCGGUACUACCAGGCAUGGGUUGAAACUGAAUAUGGUCAACGUCAUGUUGUGAACACUGGGGGGUCCCGCACUGCUGAGAGCUCUAUGUAUAGUUUCGAUGAGAUCAGCUUAUCAGACGCAGGUGCUGGAAAUAAGCAGGAAUCCACGUACUUGUACAUCCAAAUGGAGUAUUGUCCUAGAACCCUGCGACAGGACUUUGAGACAUAUAGUUCAUCUUUCAAUGUCGACCAUGCAUGGCACCUAUUUCGACAAAUCGUGGAAGGCCUAGCACAUGUUCAUAGUCAAGGCAUCAUACACCGGGACUUGACACCUAGCAACAUAUUUUUUGAUGUGCGCAACGAUAUCAAAAUUGGUGAUUUUGGUCUUGCCAAAUUUCUAAAGCUGGAGCAGCUGGAUCAUGACCAAUAUAUUCCUACUGAAGGAAUGGGCGUUUCAAUGGAUGGAACAGGUCAAGUAGGCACCUAUUUUUAUACUGCACCAGAGGUAGAACAGAAGUGGCCACAGAUAAACGAAAAGGUUGACAUGUACAGUGCGGGUGUGAUAUUCUUUGAGCUUUGGCAUCCAUUUUCAACAGCAAUGGAAAGACAUCUUGUUCUCACUGAUCUUAAACAGAAAGGCGAGUCUCCAAUGUCAUGGUCAACACAAUUUCCUGGUCAGUCAAAUCUAUUAAAACGCUUACUGUGUCCAAGCCCGUCCGAACGUCCAUCUGCGAUUGAGCUUUUGCAAAAUGACUUGCCUCCUCGGAUGGAGGACGAGUGGUUAAAUGAUGUACUUAGAAUGAUACAGACACCAGAAGACACUUACGUUUAUGAUCGAGUUAUAUCUACAAUAUUUAAUGAAGAUCGACUGGUCGCCAAAAUGCAAUGUCAGCAUGAAAGCAGUAAGAAAUCCACUUGUAAAAAUGAUAACAGUGAACUCUUGGAUUCCAUUAUUGAGGUUAGCAAAGAGGUUUUUAAGCGACAUUGUGCUAAAAGGUUCCAGAUAUCACCCUUGCAUACAUUGGAUGGGAAAUUUACUGAAAAUAGUGGACAGACAGUGAAGAUCCUAACGCAAGGAGGAGAGAUGCUAGAACUUUGCUAUGAGCAGCGAACGCCAUUUGUUAUGAACGUUGCUGCUAACCAGUUAUCAUCAUGUAAGCGUUAUGAAAUAUCAUGGGUUCACAGAAGAGCAGUUGGCCAUUCAACUCCUUAUCGUUUUCUUCAGGGUGAUUUUGACAUCAUUGGAGGUUCUUCACCAAUAACACAGGCCGAAGUUAUCAAGGUAGCUUUGGACCUUGUGAGACGUUUUUACAAUUCGAAGGCAAUUGUUAUUCGGCUGAAUCACAGCAAACUCGCUGAAGCAGUUUGUUCCUGGGCAGGAGUUCCUCAGGAACGAAGACAGAAUGUUGCUGAGUUUCUAUCUUCUACGCUUGUUCAAUAUUGCCCAAAUAAGGCGGAUCGUAAGUCACAGUGGAGUUUGAUUCGAGGGCAACUAUUACAGGAUCUUCGUCUUUCUGAAGAAGUUGUUGAGAAGCUACAUAAAGCAGAUCAACGUUUUUGUGGAUCUGCAGAUCUAGUACUUGCUAGAUUAAGAGGGACUCUUUUCUAUGAUAAAUCUGCUUGCAAGGCUCUUGAUGAUCUCUCCACUUUCCUCAAAUAUUUGAGGAUAUGGUCAGUUGAAGAACAUAUUGCUAUUGACGUACUUAUGCCUCCUUCAGACUAUUACUACACAGAUAUGUUUUUUCAGAUAUACUCAAAAGAAGGUAAUCCUGUGUUGAGUUCCCAUGAAAAGUUGCUUGCUGUUGGAGGACGAUAUGAUAUGUUGAUGGAAAAUGCUUGGGAUAAGACACAUAAAACCAAACCCCCGGGUGCUGUUGGUGUGAGCAUUGCACUUGAGAAAUUCCUUCCUAAUAAUCCUUCAUCUGACGUUGGGUUGCCAAGGAUUGAAAAUAGCAUCAGUGUACUUGUCUGUUCAAAGGGUGGCGGUGGACUCUUAAACGAGCGCAUGGAACUUGUUGCAGAACUUUGGGAAGCUAACAUAAAGGCCCAGUUUGUUCCUCAGGAAGACCCAAGUCUUCAAGAACAAUAUGAGUACGCCAGUGAUCAUGACAUCAAAUGCCUUGUAUUUAUCACUGAAGCAGGUCUUUCGCAAACAGAUCUUGUGAAGGUUAGACAUCUCGAUGCAAGAAAGGAGAAAGAUGUUGAAAAGGAAGAAAUUGUGAAGUUCCUGUCUGAAGCAAUAUCUUUACAGUUCAAAAAUCCUACAAUCUGGAGCUGA